Molecule: long non-coding RNA, 17870 nt
Filed under: Phoenix dactylifera (date palm)
Lineage: Eukaryota; Viridiplantae; Streptophyta; Magnoliopsida; Arecales; Arecaceae
Description: long non-coding RNA (PDAC_LNC003279)
Source: RNAcentral
UGUGGCAUGCUGCCUGGAUGUACUUUAUAGUGACUACAAAUGUUUCUUUCAUUGGGAGUGCCAAUUGAUUGAGUUGGUAACAUUCGAGUCAUUGGUUUGAUCCCCUUCUCAAUCUGAUUUUCAGCCAGGAUCCCACUUGUUUUUCAGGAAAAAAAAAUCAUUGAAGUGGGUUAUGUAACAAAAGCAUGCAGGGACCACAUAACAAGGAGAUUUGGUGCGUGUCAUGUAGAGUGUGGGUGGAUUUCUUAUAUAAAAACAUGUAGGCAUGUAAUGCUGAAGCUGUUUCAAUGGCAAAGCAUACAUGAAUUAUCUAGCCUUUUUGCAGCUUGUGCUCAGCAUGUAACUAUGAAUGAUGAUUAGUGGUUCCUUUUGUAAAUCAAAAUUAAGGAGUUUUGUAGGUUAGUACUAGUUGAAGCUAAUGUUUUAGCAUUAGAGUUGGAGAAUAAAUUACUCAAGAUGCGGUGUGGAGGAUUUGUUUUAAUAAAUGCUCUCCCUUUUGUAGUAAAAAAUAAUUUACAGAAGAUGAUGCCUUAGAUUUGGACAAGAUAAUCAAAGUAUAAACUGUAGGUCAAAUCUAAUUUUGUAAGGGUUGGUUGUUAAUAGUAAUUUUGUAUAAGUUGAAUAAUUCCGUUAUAAUGACCACUAACAAUUCUGCAACCUCUUUUGCAUUAGUCACAUAUAAAACAUUAUAUAAAUAUUAAUCAUUAAAUAUAUAGCAUGCCCACCAUAAUUAUGGAAUGCAAUAGCUAUAUUUGUUAUCAAAAUUUUAAAUCCUGUGAGACGGGGGUGUCCCUAUUUCUCUAUUGGACGGGAUGCCCCGCUAUUAUGGCCUUUCUUGUAGGUACUCUCCAUCUGUAUUUCUUUCUUCCCUUAUUUGUUUUUUUUUCUUCUUCCUUUCCUUUCUCUAUCUUCUACCUUGGUUUCGUUUCUUUUUCCCUUUUUCUUUUCAUCUUCUCUCUUCCCUUUUUUUUCUUCUUUCUUUCUUUUUUUUCUUCUUUCUUUCUUUUUUUUCCAUUCUUCCAUUUCUUUCUUCUUUUUCUUUGCCCCUCCUUCAUUUCUUUCGUUUUUCUUUUUCUUUCCUUCUAUUUUUUUUCCUUUUCUUUUCCCUUCCUUCCUUUCUUUCUUUCCUUUUCUUCUUCUUUCCAUUCUUUCUUUAUUUCCUCUUUUUUCUUGCAUGGAUGGGUUUGAGAGCCCCCGUCCUACCUAUAUUUACCAAAUUGGUUGCUAUUAAUUAAUUAAUGUUUGAAAGUUGUAAUAGUAAUUUUUUGAAUUUAUGUAUGAUAAUAUUCAUCGAAGACUUAGUAUUUAUGACAUUGUUAUCCUGUUAGUAUAAGUUAUUCCAUGUUACUAUAACUGUAACAUAUAGUGAUAUUUUAUUCAACCAAAUUUUAUUUUUUUACCCAUUAUAAUAGUCCUGAAUGGAUCAUAAUAGAUUUGGUGCAUGACUUGGUUGUGUGAAUAACUGCAUCUUGGUUGCAUGCUGUAUAUUGGGCAUGAUUACAACAAAGUAUGGAAAUUUCAAAACAUGGUUGCUAAGCAUUUAGUUGCUGGUAUAAUCAUCUAAAAACAAGGGCUAAAAAAUGGGCCAAUUGAUUGCAUGAACUGCAGUUUUGGACUCUUUUGACUUUCUUAAAGCACAGACAUGCAUGCACGCACUCUCCUUUCUUUCGCAUAUUAUCUUUCCCUUGAUUCUUUUUGCAUGAUCUGAAGUGAAUUUGUCCAUAGUACUAAGGUGUAGACAUCAUAAAUUGGCAAAAUAUGGACAGAGACCAUAGUACGAUAAUCCACGCUCAAAGAAUGGGCGAAUCAGCAGGGUAAUCGGUUUACAUUGUUACCUUCAUAUGAAUAAUUGAGAGAUCAAAGCAGUUACUGAAAACUAGAAAAUUAUUAUGACUUGUAACAUACCAUGCCCUUUUAAUUUCCAUUCUAUAGUGUGCCAUUUUAUAAAAUUAUGGUUCUUGAUUGGCUUCAUAUCCAGUGUUCUUCUCCCUCAUUAACACAUUCUUCUAUGAUACAGUGGCCUAAAAGAAAGCUUCGGUUGAAUCUUUCUUCAAAUUUUCAAGCAGUUAUGUUGCAGUGUAAUUAUCAACAACAGGUUAUCAUUAUUAUAUCCAACAUUGGUUGCAGGGAAGUUGCAGCAGAAUCUAUUUAUAAGGAGAGAUGCAUUGCUGUGAAUGAUGGGCCUAGUUGGGCAAAGUAUAUGUCCAUCUCUGGCUCUCAAGAAGAUGAACACGACAUAAUCACUUUGCAGUAUACAGAAGAGGGCUUGUUAAGCGUAGAUGAGAACUGGGAUGGCCAUGCUGCAGCUUUUGGGGAUGACAUUGCAAUUGAGAGCUUGGCAACAGAGUUCAAGCGAGAAGUUUAUGUGGUGAGUGUAUGAUAAUAAUAUUCUUCUCAUCUUGCAUUCUUUUUGUUUUUUAAAUGAAAGUCCGUGCACCUGGGAUAUAUUCAUGUGCAUGUGUGUGUUGUGCUUUUGUACUUGUGUUGGUUUUUAUGAGAUGGAAAAGUUUUUAUUCCAUGUUGUUUGAUAUUUGUUAGAUAUUGCAUUGUUUUGCUGACUCUGGUGUUACUGAUAUAUGUAUCUCUGUAAAGUAUGCCUAGCUCUAAUUAAUAGUGUUGCACAUGUACAAGAAAGGGUAAAUGAGAGACCAGUCAUGUACCUUUCUUCAUUUUGAUCUCCAAGCAUUUUCCUUGGCAUCAAAAAGCAGGUGGAACAGAAAUUUAAAUGACAAGUCUAUAGAUUUUAUUUUCCAAAUAAAAUGAUAAAAAAAAUCAAUUAAAAAGAUAUGUCAUAAAAGAUGAACAUGAGGAUUGGAAAGCUUAUUUGUUUCAACAGUAACAUGGAAUGGCUGUUGUUUUAAGUUAUUCUAUACUGGAUUCACUUCCACUGUCCAUAUUGAAUGCAGGAAUCUUUGUCAAAUUUCAUUAGUCUCAUCUCUUGCUUUUUUCUCAUGUAUUUACUGUGAACUCCCUAUCUUCCAGAUCUUGUAUUCGGUCAUUAUAGAAAGUGAUCAUAUAUAUAAUGUUGCAUCUGGUAUUAGAGUGAAGUAGUGUUGGUGAGAAGAGGGAACACCUUUCUUGUUUAGCAAGAUCAUCAUAAGGUGUUGCUUGUUAGCAAGUCAUUAAGGUGUUUCUUGUUUAGCAAUGAAUAAUGUUGAUCAGGAGAAACUUGAGUUGAAGGUGAUGAUCUUGAUUAAGUGUUCUUGUUGAGGAAAAUCUAGAAGUUUGGAAAAGUAUACAAAGUGUUUCUUCCUUUUGCUACCAUUUUUGUCAUUGUAUGAGCUUUUAUGACCACGGUUGUAACUAGAAGCAAACCAUUGAAAUGAAGGAGGUAAAAAAGUGAUAAGCUGGACAUUUGAUUUUAAAGAAAUAGUGAAGAUUUGUGGUCAUAAAAUUAAUUAAGAAGAUCAAAAAAAAUAUGGUGAAACGAAGAGUAGUCUACUGAACUUGAAGGACAGAAAAGUCUGAUGUUAAAUUUUGCAAGGUCCUUAGAAAGAGAGUGCAAAGCUUAAGGAGCCUGCAUAAAAUGCCAAGUUGGUUGACCAUGAAAUCCAGGUACCUAUUAUGACUUCUUAUGAAUCCUUGUUUAUAAUGCGUAUUCGUGAAUUUGUAAUGUUAAUGAUGCAGUCCUUAUGGUGAGAGUAAUGCAAUGUAGAAUGCUUAACAAUAUGACAACAACUUGUAGCUGUCAAGUUUCAGAUGACUAUUACAUCACUGAUGGCAUUAAGUUUGCUUGGUCAUAUUACUGGUCAAAUGGACACAGUCGUGAAGCAUUGAUUACGAUGAAAUUGGGUAAAAUGCAAAGCACUUUGAUCGUAAUUGUCAUGUAAAAUGCAAAUAAAUCCAUCCCUACCAUCUUAAAUCAUAUAUACUUCAUGUAAAAUAUUGCAUGUUUGGUGAAUAAUGCAAGUUGAGUUUUAGAUCUUUAUUUAAUAGACUAGAAGCCUGCUCAUAGGUAGGAGUGUACUUACAGAGUUGGUGUAUGAUGGUGCAAUGUAUGUGUGAAUAUUUCUAGUUUUUCAAGCAUCUUGGGCAUUUAUUGUCUAAAAUUUCCAAGUCAUGCUCAAAAGAAUGGAUACACAAUAAUUUUGAGGCAAAAUAUGUGGCUUGUUAGAUUAUCGACAUUUUUGGUGACAAUUAAAUGAAAGAUUUAGCAAAUAGUCUGGAGUAGACAUGUAGUUCAUAGUUCAUCGUAGAUUUUAGGUGUUUUAAUGUAUGUGCAAAAAGGAUAAUGCACCUAGAUUGAUGCCUUAUAAUUAGCCUUACGUUACUGGUAUGAAGGUCAAAAGGUCAGAGGCUAUGGGGCCUAAUGAUAAAAGAUAGCCAUCAACAAAGUGGCUAUUUGAUUGGAGUUGCAUGUCUAAGAAAACCAAUUAAGACACUCGGGAAGGAUGCUUGAUGGCUUGUUCAAUUUGACAUCUCAUUGUGAGGCGGUUCAACGUAGGCUUGUUUCUCAUUGGUUCCAAUGAAGAUUGACAAAGUACAGUGAAGAGGGCAUCAUAUUAUACACGUCUCAGAUUCAUUGUAAUUGGCAUGGUUUUUGUGUGUGUGUGUGUGUGUUUGUUUUUUUUUAAACUUUGUCGUGGAUUAGACUGACCAUCUUCCUCUGAAAAGGCAUUUAAGGAUAACAACGGUGCCGAGUAAAAGAGUGUUAAAGUGAACAAUUUUGAUAGUAUUGUUUAAAAGGAAAUAUACAGCUGGACAGAUAUGUUACAGUGAACAAUGUGAUUUCCAACUAUCGUGUUAAAAUGUCUAGAAAAUUGGGUGUCUUUCCAUUUUUGGCAAACAAUUUGAAUCUUAUUGUUUAAAGAGAUACACGCUGGCUCAAAAAAUGUUAAAAUGAACAAUAUUUCUUUGCUCCAACAUUGUUCUUUUUCUAUGUAUAUGCACACACGUGGGUAUAUCUUCUGUAAAUUUCAUUUACUUUUUUAUGUUAUCAGGUUCAAGCACAUGGUUCAGAUGCAAUGGUUGAUGAAGACAAUUGUGUCUUCUUUCUCCCACACCAACCUAGGGGUCAGAUUUGUGGACCUCCAAUUUUUCUGUUUAUGAAAGGCACAGGUAUGUAGCCAUUUCUUGCCAUUUUAGUGCAACUAAUUUUGCAGGUGAUCAUUAUCAUUGUAUCAUAUAUUGUUCUUAAAACAAUAAAAUUAAGCCCUAUUGUUGUCAGAUUUCCUCAUAUGAGCUUGAUAGAUUCUUCUAGCACAAACUUCGGAGUAUUUAUUUAGAACUUGCCUCUGCUUCUUAAUUCUUUUGAUGUACUAACUCAGCUUCGAGUCAUUCGUCAUAUAAUGCAAGCAUAGUUUAUCAAGAGUGAGUGUAGCAAAAUUAGAGUUAUAUUUUGAUCUCUAAAAUUUCUCAGCUUUGACAUGACAUCUACAUCCAAAUUUAUUUAUAAAAGCUCUUACAACUACCAAACAAGGGAUUUUGGUUACUUAACUAUAUUUGGUCACACUUUGCAUGCGCCUAGGUGCUUCUGCCUCCAAAAUGUUUGAGUUUUGGCUUAGCUUUUCUUGCAUCAGACCCAUGCCUGCACCUCUGAACAUAAAUUAUCUGCACAUUAGUCAAGUUUCUUCGAGUCUCGCUAGCACAAAUAUAGUAGUUUGUAGUAUCAUUAGCCUUAAGCCUUCUAGGUAACGGCAAGUGCUUCUAUUGCUUAUUGAUAUGUGCAGACAAUUUUUCUGGCUACCUUGUGCACAGGCUUUGCACACUUCCCUUUCGUUCACUUUAUAGACUGGACAACUAAAUUUACAUAUACAUGUUUUGUUGCUUGUUUAUAGUUCAUAAUAGAUUGCAUCACAUCUGAAUAUCGUUUGCUAAGCCAUUGUGUACUUGAAAUUGGGCAAGUUCUUUAUUUAUUCUUUUUGUUUUGUAAAAGGGAAUGGGUAAUGUUUACGUAUUAAACAUAGAUAAAACUAUCAAGGUUUACGCCAGUCAAAUAAAUGGUGAAAAAUAUGCUAUAUAAUGCUAUACCCUACCACCCCCCCCCCCCCCCCCCCUCCUCCUCCUCCUCCUCCUUGGAUACCAUACUGGAAACUAUCAAGUUUUACACCGGUCAAAUAAAUUAAAAAUAAAAAUGAGUGGUGACAAAUAUGCUAUAUAAUGCUAUAUCCACUCCCCCCCCCCUCCUCUCUCCUCUUUUCUUUCAUGGAUACCAUCCUGGAAAAGUUGUGAAGAUAUUUAGUAUAAAGCAAGUAUCUACCAUGCAGAUCUCCUUCUCCUAGUUAUAUUAUAUAUUUCUGGUUAUCUGAUUCCUUGUCAAAAGUCAGAAAUUAAAGUUUUGCUGUUUAUGUUUUGAUCAGUUUUGAAAUUUACAGGCUGGUGUGGUGCCGGAGCUGACCAUUAUGAACCUUUGGUAGCUAGUCCUAUUCCUCUUAUUUCCAAGGAGAAGGCUGCUGUUAUACUCUGAGGAUACUGAUUAUGCAGUGACGAGAGAUGGAUCAAGAUUUUUUUAUGUUGGAAAUUGUCAACCAAUUAGGAUUGAAUGAGAAUUCUUAUUGCAUACCUAUUUUUUGACGUGAUCCACUUUGGAUCCACACUGACUCUAACCUGCAGGGCCUUUACCUGCUUUUGAGAGACCUCUUAGUGCCUGUGUAACAGUAUUUCUAGCUUCGGUUGGCGAGAGAGUAUUUUCGAGUUAUUAGAUGGUUAAUUUUUUCCUGCUGUACUGGGUUUUCUGAGUGUUUCAGAUCAGUCCAUCGGAGCUGUUUCUCUUUUUAAGAAAAUUUCGUCUCUAUUAAUUGAUAGAAUUGGUUAAUUUUUUUGUUGUCAAAUACUUAUAUUUCUUUACAAUUUUGUUAGAAGCUUUGGCCAUCGUGAGUGUAGGCUAAUGAUAAACUUUGAUGCAAAAAGUUGUCAUGAACAAGUACACAUGGCUCUGUGGGCAUGGGUUUCUCAAACUGCCUUGCGUUUUCUAGGUAUGUUUUAUGCCUCAUCCGUUACUGUGGAUGUUGAUUCAUCUGAAGUUAGGAGGGUCUCUGCAUGAAAUUGAAGGUUUGUAAACUGCUGUGGCUGCUCGUCCAUGGACUUAUAACUGAUGGCAUUGUUUGAAAAUUUAACUGCCAAAAUGUCUAAGCUCUAUUUUUCAUUCAGAUUUUGCCUCGCCUGAUUGAGUAUGAUGAUAGGGGUUUACCUUCUUUGGAGUCUCUGACCUCUCUGCUUAUCAAAAGAAAAAAAAAGAAAAAGACUGGGAUAUAGGUUGGUCCAGAGUCUAUGAUUACAGAUUGUUUAUUUGUUGUUGUAAUAUCUGUAAUAUUGAGAAACGUUUUAGCGUUUAGCUUGCCACUGGUGAUUGAUGCCACUGAAGAGGUACAAAAUUGAUGUGGUUUUCAUUUCAUGAACUCUUAUGCUGUUUGGUAGGUUGAUGGUAACAGUCGGGCCUCGCCUACUACUCGGCCAUCACCGAUUUUUGCAUCUAUGAUUUAGCCAAUAACCAAUUUUUGCAUUGGAUUUGUCUGGUGAUUUUUUUCUUUUUAAUAGUUUGCAUCGUUCUGAUUUACAAACUCAGACUACCACGAGCUAAUUUUAAUCCAGUUUCUAAAGCCUUGUACGCAUGGUGAGAAGAACCCUAAUUAUUUGAACCUACAAGAUUCCACGAAAAAAGUGUCGCCUUCUUGCAAUUCUAAAUGGAUGUUUUUGUUCUGUUUAUUGGCAACUUUACAAUUCUCGAAUGUUUCUGUAAUGCUUAGGUAUCCGUUGUGGCCAACUAAUAGUUUUCUUGGCCAUGGCCGAUGGCCUACUAUUAGUUCCCUUAGGCUGGUCAUGCCGCAAGGGUCAGAUACGAUAAACCUUAAAUAUGUGUGUGUGUAUAUAUAUAUAUAUAUUUGUAUAUCAUAAGAGUGCUUCACAUCAAUGAGGAUAUAUAGACUGAAUAGUUUUAGCUCCAUUUGAUAGAGUUAUUGGUAGUAGAGCUUUCAAAAUUAGAGUUUUUUAAAGUAUAGUUUUUUUAAAAAAUUAUUUGCUGUUUGGUAACUACAUUUCUAAAGUGCUGUGGAAGGUAAACAAUCUGAGAAAAUAGCUUUUUAGUAUGAUGAAAUUACUAUAAAAAAUAUUGUAUAAUAUUAUACAACAGAGCAUAAUAAGAUAUAAUAUAUAUUAAUAAAUAAAUAUAUAAUAUAAUAUGAGAUUACUAUAAUAUAUUAUAAUAUUAUUAUAAUAUAGUAAUAUAAUAUUAUAUACUAUAGCAUAAUAAUAUAAUAUAAUUUGAUAUUAUAUAAUAUAACAUAUAAUGUAUUAUGAUAUAAUGUAAUAUAAUAUUAUAUUUAUAGUAGAAUAUAAUAAUAAAGGUGUAAAAUAUUAUAAUUAUUAUCAUUAUAUAUUAAUAUUUUUUUUAAUAUAAUAUUUUUAGGAACUAAUUUUUGUGUUUCUUGUUUUUUAUUAGGAUUUCUGCUGAUUUUUGUAAUACAAAGGAAUAUUUUCUGUAAUUAUGAUAUUUUCUUAUUGGUAUUUUGGUCCCAAAAAAAAAGAAAAAUUAUAAACCAAAACAACUUUCUGACAUAUACUAAAAGUGUUUUUUCGAAAAAACUCUAUUUUGGAGCUUUUCUCAAGAAGCUGUUUUAGCUUUUUCCGCAAAGCUAAAACACCUUUCUGAUUUUUUUUACCAAACAUCUUUAUUCUAUCCAAAAGUACUUUUGGAGGGUCAGAAAGUGCUUUCCGGCCCACCAAAAGCUCUUCCAAAUAGGGCCUCAAUGUAAGGUCCGAAAAAAUAGUUUCUCUUUUUUAUGUACCAACAAUAUUAAUUCUUUGCCAUCUCUACCCACAAGGAAAGCAAAAGUUGUCGUGCCUCAAGCUCGGAGCACGUCAGACGCUGCACGCAUGUACGACGAAUCAUACAGGCAUGCAAGGCUGCAGAUCAUAUCAAAGCAAUGAUAAAUUUCUGAUUUUUUUAAAUCAAUAAUAUACUCAAAGCAAUCUUCCAAAGUUUCAAAAUAAUAUAUGACAAGAUAAAUCAAUUAUUAUAACUAGUCUAUUUAAAAUGCCAAUAACUGAAAGAAAUCUUUAGAAAUCUAGUGCACUUCCCAAUCCCAUGCGAUCAUGCAUCUGGAUCUGAAAAACAGAUAAAAUAUAAUAAUGAGCUAUACUAGCCUAGUAAGCAACAUAAUACCCUAGAGUGGGGUCAAAGCAUAACAGAUAAUUAAUCAAAAUAAAAAAUAAUGAUUGGAAAUUAAAUCACAAAUAAGUAUAUAUUUUUUUGAAUUUAUUAAGUAUUUUUAUAAAAACUCUGAUACUAAAGUCUCAACAUAAAUUGGUUAAAGCCACGUAACCUAGUGGCAUGGGUUGCAUAAAGUGCCAAAUCGACUAUUAUUAACUACUAGUGGCAACAGUGUCCAAAUCUACUAUUAUUAAUCACCGGUGGUAACGGUGUCAUAAUCUACUAUUCUUAUCAUUGGUGGCACGGUGUUGAAACUAGUUUUUCACAUAUACAAGUCGAUAGGGUCAACGAAUAAUCUCCAUUAGUGGAGCCAGAACAGAUCAUAGCUAUGCUGAGAAUAUAUACAUAUAAAAAUAGAUUUCAUAAGUUGCCGAGUCAUAUUUUACAGAUUUUAUAGUAUAUAACAAAAUUUUAAAAUAAUAUUUAGCAUAUUUGAGCCAUUUUACUAAGUACAAAAUAUAUUUCAAAAUUAAUCCACUAAUAAUUACUUUGCCAAACACUUUGGAAAAUAUACUUUGAAGUAUUAAGUUGCUUACCUCGUUUUGCUUUAAAUCGUACUUCAGAAAAACGGGUCAGAUGCACCUGUUUAAUAUUAUUAAUUUUAAUAUUAUUCCAAAAGUCAAAAUUAAACACUACUAUCUCAUGCCCCCAGAUCAGGUUGGUCGGGUAACGGUGCCUGACUACUCAGGUUAGUCCGAGCCAAGAGUAUUUAAUGGGUCAAAUAAAGAUCAAAAGUAGUUAAAUCUAGCUGGGGCUGAAGUCAUGGCUGGUCUACUUCCCAGGGACCGAGGCGGUUCAGGAUCUCUAAACUGGGUCAACUUGGAUUUGAGCAAUAGGAAGAAAAUGGCUUACACUAGGAUCCUCGAGCAUGUCUAGAGAGAGAAAAAGGAGAGGAGAGAUAAUCUUAGCUUGGAUUUGGAUUUGGUUUGAUCCGGUCUUGGGCUUGGUCUGAGUAGUUCGGAUCGACAUUUAGAAAAAAGGUCUAGAUCUGGUCAGAAUGUGGGCUUGCUUAGAGGGAGAAAGAGAUACACAAUCUAAGUCUAAUUGAGCUUUUGGGCUUGAUCCACUUAGUUAGGUUCAAUCAGAGGCUUGGCCUACUUAGUCCGGUUUGACCAAAAUCAGAAAAGAGAUAUUUGGCCUAGGUAAACCUGGAACAAUCAAUGUAUCUAGUCCAUAAUGAACGGACUCGGCCCACAAUGGAUGAAUAGGGCCCGGAAGAAAUAUGACCCAUAAUGAAUGAACAGGGCCAAAAGGAAUACAACCCAUAAUAGAUGAGCAGGGCUCAAAAUUAAUAUGACCCACAAUGAACACUGCCCUAAUAGGGUGAACAGGGCCCAAAAGGUAUACGACCCAUAAUAGACACGACUCAUAAUAGACACGGCCCAACAGAAUGAACAAGGCCCGAAGUCAUCCCACGAUGGACAUGGCCCAACAAGGCCCAAAUUUGGCCCACCAAAGGGCAUGACCCAACAAGGACCAAGAUGACUGAAUUGGGCCCACACAAUGGGUAUGGCCCAACAGGGCCUAAAAUGGCUGAACUGGUCCCAAAUUUGGCCCGCAAUGGGCAUAGCUCAAUAGGGCCUAAAAUCACUAAGUUGGACCCAAAUUGAAUAGGGCCCAAUUGAAUGUUCACGGUCCAAAAUAGAUCACUGUGGGUGUGGGUAUGCUUCAUCCCGUUGAACAAGGAGGAAGAAGAGAUAAAGGGAAGAGAGGGAAGGAGAAGCUGGCGGGGUGGCCGUGUCCUGGUGGCUGGGGGCCAUUGUCCGAAGAGAGGGAAGGAAAAGCUGGCGGGGUGGCCGGGGGCUGUUGUCUGGUCGAUGGCCCUACCGACCGCAUUGGCGGCCGGUAGCCGUUGUGACGACCGGCAAGAGGGAAGAGAUCGACAGUAGUCCCGGUUUGGAGCCGGAAUAGAGAAAGAAAUUGGCCUCUAUUUAACCAAAAGUAAAAGAACAGAGGGAAGGGAAGCUUACCGGUGAGUGGUGGAGAGGAGGGUUCUUGGUCGAGGGUGGCUCGGUCCGGCGGUCAAGCGGCGGCGGUGGCGGCACUUCCGGCAACGAGGAGAAAUCAAAAAAAAUAGGGCACUCGGAUGACAUAGAGGGAGAAGUGGGAGCUUUGGGCGGCGGCGCUCUGCUGGGGUGGCACGCCGACCACUGGAGAAGAAGGAGAAGGGGGGAGGGGAGGCUCGAAGAUGAUGGCUUGGUGGCAGAAAAAAGGUGGAUUUAUAACGGUUUCCGAAUGGGAUAGUGGCUUGUUCGCCGCUACGAUUCCUGCGGCGGUUAAGCAUGACUGGCGGCCAUUCCUAGCGGCUAUGGGGCUGCCGCGGUACUGCCGUGGGGCUACUGCGGAGUGGCCACGACACCUCCACCCCAUCUAGCCUGAGGAAGGAGCAAGGGACCGUGAUCACAAUUUUCUGUUCCGUUUCUCUUUUGGGCCACCGACUUCAGCCCAUUCUGGGCCUAUUGUCACAAAAGUGGUCUCCAAAAAAAGCAAUGGGACCGCAGAGGGUCAAGCAUGGUGGCCUCUGAUGGACUAAACAGGCUAGAGCAAACCUAUUCGUUCAUGGCCAUCCAUCUUAAUACUUCGGUGUGUAGAGGUAGGACUAGAAGAACAGGGGUGGACUUGGCCAUGGAUGAUCAGGAAUCCAACGUCUGAGCGUGCUUGGAAAUCAUCAAAGCGAGUUUGGAAGCGAAAAAUACUCCCAGCCUCCAAUCGGAUUGGAUAGAAGAUCGUUUCGAUUUUAUUAUCUCAAUUUAAUUUAAAAAAAGAUAAUGAUUUUUUUAAUCCAGAAAUUUACGUGUUGGAGUCUUGCUGGAACUAGGUUUCUUAAUUUGAGAGAGAUUACUUCAAUGGUUAGGGUAGAAAUUUAUUCAGACACAAAUAUAUGGAUCAAGACCCUUUUGAAAGAAAAGGGUAUUUCCGCCUCUGGAUUACAAAAUUAAUAAUAUGGCAAUCAAAUCUUUACAAUUUAUAAUCAUCAAAAUAUAUGCAUAGUUUGAUAGAAUAAUUGAAGAUUUAUUUGCGUAUCGAUGAUCAAGUAAGUCAACCAAAAAGCUUAGAAAAAAUCAAAGUCUAAAAUGGUACAUUGUGCUUUUUAACUUUACCAAGAUAGGAGAUUGGGUUGUUUAUUUCGUAAUCUAUUAACUUACAGAAACCUGAAGUGCGCAGGAAUCAUUGUUUUAAUAUUGUCACCUGAAACUUGAUGUUUAUUGGUAUUUGGUAGACAUAUGUUCUCUUCAUCUUAGGAUCUAUUAAUUUGUCAAAUUUUGGUCCUAUUUUGGAUAGCUGAGAUGAUUUUAAUUAGAUCAAAACCCAACAAGGAUCAAGUUUAGAUAGUAGAGGAAAAUAUUUGGACAACUGAGACGAACUUCAUUAAAUCCAAAGAUCAAAUUAUUUGUACUUAUAUAUAGAGAGAGAGAGAGCGCCAAACUUGGCUACAAUUGAGUAGAUCUUAAUUUAGAUCUAGUCAGAUAUAUAAUAGAUGAUGAGGGUUCUACAUCAAUAAUUGGAGCCGUUGGAUGCAAGCUAUCAUAUAAUUUAGAAACUCUAGCCUAUGUAUUGAGUGAUCAAAAAUUGAACCGUCUACAUAAAAUUAAAUUAUAUGUUUUUUUUAUCACUUGAUGUAUAUGUUAUGGGUCUCUAAAUCAUAUAUUUUUUAAGUAUAAAUAGUUUAAAAACAAUAGAUCACAUCUAAUGGCUUGCAUCAUUCUUGUGAAAUUUUUUAUAAUAUUCAACAUAAGCUUGACCAGAUCUGAGUAGCGAUUCACUCAAGUGUAACUAAGUCUAGCUCUCUCUCUAUAUUAUACAUGCAUGUAUGCAUAUAUAUGUGUGUGUGUGUGUGUAUAUAUAUAUAUAUAAUAUAAUAUAAUAUAAUAAUAUAUGCACUCUAGGCCUAGCACAAAGAAUUUUGGAUUUCAAACUAGGUCAGGGUUCGAAAUUUCUUUCAAAAUUCUAGCUCAAGUUUGACCUAAGUCCGAACUUGUGCUCAAUCAAAAGCCUGAUUGGACUAGCUCGAAUCUAGAUCUUGAUUGGGCUCUAGUGCAAAAUUAGAGAGGGGAAGGUUAAUUUUUUUUUUUUGGGUGAGGGGAGAAAGAUUAGGAGAGGGGGAGAGAUUGGGAGAGGGACAACGUGGAGAGAGAGAGUGGGAUGGAGAGAGGGGGAGAGAUGAGGGAGAUGAGUGAGAGCAAUGAGGGAGAGAGAUCUGGUAGGAGAGAGCGAGGAGAGAGAAGAAAGAGAUCAGGAGGAAGAAAGAAGAUAGAGGAGAGAUCUUGCUAAGAAUGUGUUUUAUUAGACUUAAGCAUCAGGCUAAGCCAAAAGGAGUGAAGCAUCGGCCCGAGCACGGCCUAACAUUUAAUUGGGCUCUAUUUUUAAGCCGAAGAUCUACCAAAUUAGUUUUAAGCCAAACUCACAGCUCAACCUAUAACCACGCUAGCCCAGGCCCAUUUCCAGGCUAUGCUUUAUAGAUUAGGUUUGAAAAUGGGUUCGGUAUUGAGUCACCCGAAACUCGAAUCAUACCCGAUACCAUAGUACCCAACUUGCUUGACUUGAUUAUUGAUUGGGGCAUUUGAACUCUCAACCCAACUAACCCAACAUAUAUCCGAUUCAAAUCGAUUACCUGACCUGACCAGAACUCUACGUAGGGUACAUUUGGUCUUUGUGCUUUAGAUUCAGCUCAGUUAAUGAGAUGCUAGGCGCAUAUGCUCAUUUGGAUUGGUUGGAAAAAUGAGCAAGUAACCUGCAUAGAGAUUUUUGAUAUUCAUGGAAACGAAGGGCCCUAGCUUAUUAUUUCAUGAAGUAUGCUUAGAAUGUUUUUUAUCCUAUCUUAUUACAACUUAAGAUAAUUAAAAUUAUUUUUAAAAUAAAAUAAAUUUAUAGUCAAGGAUCCGACUUUUAUUGCAUAUCUGAUGGAUGGAUAUGAUCCCACUAUUAAUAAAAUAUUUGGUAUUAAUUUGUUUUUUUCUUACUAGCAUAUUUUAUUAUUACCAACAAGAAUUAUAUAAACUAUAGAAUACGCCAGGCUAAUUCAUAGGGAAGGAAUAAUUAAUUGAUGAUACCGUUCUCACUCUCUCGAAAAAAAAAGGAAAGAAUAAAAAAAGACAGUGAUCCCAUCAGCAAAAUAAAAAUUCCUUCUACAUAACAAAAAAGAAAAAAAGAAAAUAAAUUUGCAAUCCCACGCCAACCCAUUAUCUUUUUGUCGAAUAAACUUUACAAACAAGAGAAACUUUACAACCCCAACUCUUUUUAUCUCAUAUGGCUUGUAGUCAAUAGGGAGCUCAAUGUCUACAAAUGAUUUCACAAGACCAGGGUUUGUUUGCUCAAUUUGGCUGGACUUAUUACACUAAGUUCUCUCUAUCCUGGAACCAUUAAUGUUAUAUUACUCUCUCUCCUCACCCAUAAGAAACUAUAGUUCUUGCUUCGAGCCUCCUCUCCAUGUUGAACUUUGCAAUAAAGUCCUCUACCCUUCUGUUCAAUUCCUCGGCAGGCAAGCCCGUCUCUUCCUCUUCAUCCAACUCCUCACACUCUUUCUCCAUCUCCACCACCACCUCCUCCUCCUCAACCCCAUCACUUUUCUCUCUUUCCUGCUCCACUUCUUCAACUUCCUCCUUUGUCUCUUCAAUCGAAGGGCCCCUCACACUCUCCUCCCUCGCACUACCUUCCUUCCCAAUCUCCUCCUUUACACUUUCCACCACCUUAACUUCACCACUAGAUAGAUUUUGAAUACUUCGCCUUCUUUCCACAUACUCUUCGUAUGUAUCAGGCGUCGGCGGGGAUUUGGAGAGCUUCGACUCGCCGACUAGGAAGAUGAUGAUGAUGUUGGAGACUAUGAACAAGCACUUGGGCCUGCAGAUGAUGGCCCCAACGCUUGGGAGAGACACCAAGAAGAACUUCCUUAUGGAGGAGAAAAUGGUGGGAAGCGAAUGGGGAAUUGAGAGGAAUAGACCAAGCAUGACAACUGUUACACAGGAUUGCAUGAAGGUAGGGAGGGACUGCUUCCUCCUGUAUCUCUUCAUGGCUUGGAGCUUCUCUAUCUUAAUUGGGUCCAUAGUGCUGAGGGGAUUGGAGAAAGGCAAGUAGUAGUAGGGAAGUAAGUUGGAUCGAGAGACACAGAGAGAGAGAGAGAGAGAGAGAGAGAGAGAGNNNNNNNNNNNNNNNNNNNNAGAGAGAGAGAGAGAGAGAGAGAGAGAGAGAGAGAGAGAGAGAGAGAGGCUUGUGAGGAGUAGGGAGAGGUAAGGGAAGGAUCCCCAUCCGACAGAACAAAGAGCAAUGCAAGGAGAGAAUUAUAUAGAGAAGAUAAAGGUGGCAUGCAGCAGAUGCCAGCUUUAGUCCUCUUAUUAUUUGGCUCCCUUUAGCCUGCGGGGACACUUCGCAACUCGAGCAUUGUCCACAUGCACCUAAUAAUUUCUUUCUUUAUUGCUUACUAUGGGUCGGUGCCCAAGCUUUGCUAAAGAACGGGCAUCAUUAGCCCGUACAUAUAAGGGUGUUCCCUUUAAAUUUUUAAAUAAGUCAAGUUGGUAGCGUUAUCCUUUGAAGAAAAAAAAUAACAUGUAAUAUAUGAUUUUUUUUUGACAUUGAUUGAAUGGCAGGACCAUGUACUUAAUUUAAAUGUAAUGGUAAACUUAUUGUGGGCUACUCUAGUGAAGUCACUUAUGUUAAUGAUUGAAUUAUUGUUGGUGAACCCGGCCAUGUAUCAAAAUAAUUUGGAAGCAGUCUUUAAUUGGUGAACUGGGCAUUGAUUGAGGGUGAACUAACAAUUGAAUCCAUGCACCCAAAGUUACCUUCCCCUUUUUCCUAGUCAAUAUGAUUGGGACAAUGAUAGGUGAUGCUUGAAACGAAAUUUUAUGAAUAAAAAAGGUGAUAAAACCUCUCUCUCAAGAAACAGCAUGCUGCCAUAAUGGAUUACCAGUCGACCGUCCAAAGAAAAAUUCUGACCUUUGGGAAAGCACAUCUCACCUUCCUUUAUUUGGCGCAAAAGAUGGGCUUCUGAUAGAGACCUUAAUUAAGUCUCAAGAUUUGCAUUAUUGAAGCAUUGAAAACAAGUACAAGCAAGCACAACAGAACAAAAAAGAGCAAAAAAAAGAAGGAAAAAAUACUAAUAAAUCGAAAUUUUAUUCGGCAUAAAAGUUUAUUAGUUGGUUGAAAUUUUUGUCUUUAAUUCAUCCAAUAUGUAAUAAUUGUAUCACUAAGUAAUUUUUUUUUUUUUACAAAUUACAUCACACAACAUUAUACUGCACUAAUUUAGUCCUAACCACUUAUAAAGUUUAAUAGGUAUGUUAUAGUAGUAAACUGGUUAUCAAAAUUAAGAAAAAGAAGGGAAUAUAGAUGGACACUGGGACUGAAUAUAUUCCCUGAAUGAUCCAAAACCUCAAACCUUAGGGACUAAGGAAACAUGGGGAUAAAUUGGGCUCCAUGCAUGUCAACUGACUUGUUGGUUACCUGUACAAACAGUGCAAGGAAAUGUGGCAUCUAGCUUUGGGACUCAAUUAUUGAGUAGCCAAUUCAGCAUUCUGGUCAACAUCAGACAACACAUAAACAGAGGAUGCACCAUAUAUGUCUCUCUAGCUUUCCCAUUUGAAAUCAGUGGAUGUGAUUAAAACUAUGCAACAUAACUUGCUAUGGAAGACUCAUCUCUAUGUUUUCCAGAGAAAUCCCAAGGUCCGCCAACAAAGGAGAGAGAGUCCAUUGCUUAUUUCAUUGUGUGGAAAAUUUACUAGUUAGUUAAAUAGAGAGAAAGAAGGGGCACGAAUCCACCGUUGGAUCUCGUAAGGCUUGUUUGGUUUGUAAGAAAAGAAGAGAAAAAAUGUGGUCAACGGAAAAGUAAUGAGAUGUCUUUUAUUUGAUUAAAGUUUUCAAAGGAGAGAAAUAGAAAAGUUGUAUUCCCAUGGAAAUAUAAUUUCCAUGUUUAUGAAAAGUCUUUCCCAUGAGAAACAAAGAAAAGUUACAUUUUCAUGAGCUGCAAAUCACUCUAUUUUUAUUUUUUUCUAAAAAAGUCAUUCAGCAUUAAAGAGGCAUUAAAGACAUAAUUUUUAUUAAGGGUAUAAUAGGAAUUAUACAUAACCUUUUUAGGAAAGUGGAUGGUCAACCAAAAAUAAACACUUUAAAAAUCUAUCACUUUCCCAUUGUCAACCAAACAUGCCAAAAGUACUUUUCCAAGCAUUCCGGAAAGCUGAAAUUCCGGAAAAUCGGAUUUCUUCUUUUUCCAGGAAUCUACUUUCUAGGAAUUAUAUUCCUAAAAGGAAAAAUGUUUUCCACUAACCAAACGAGCCCGCAAUGGUUGCUUCACGAUCCUUGCAGGUGGAUAAAUAGAAAAGUUCGAAGCGCUUUGAGAUUUGUGUAGAGCACGAUCCAAUGGUCGACAUUGUGAAAGAAGAUUAAUUAUUCUUUUGUGUGAAAGACACAAUACGAACCUUGUAGGACAAUGGGGUGGACUCAAGGUGAGCAUGUGUCUCAUGUUGCAUGGCAGAAGAAAUCUAUUUGUUGACAGAGCUCUCUAUCUUUUCUCUGUUAGUAAUUGGUAAACCUGUUCGAUUAAAAUUGAUGUAAGUGUAUAACCAACUAGAGAAAGAUAGAGGAAGCUAAUAUUAUUGCUUAUGUUUUUAGAGAAAAAAAGCCAGCUUUUUCUGAGUAAGGAAGGAAGGACAAAUCAUCUUGUGUGAACUCAAGGUGAACAGGUGUCUCAUGUUGCACAAGCAUCUUGAGUUGAACUUAAAACCUCUCUCAAACACAA